GAUUUAUGACCUAGUAACUGAGGACAGAAAUAAGUGGUUGCAUUACUGCCUGGCAACCUGAGUCUGGGCUCCACUCCGGAGGGGCGGCACAGAUUGAAAUAGCUGAGGCAAGUUUACUUUUCCCUGUCCAGGUGCUCUCCUGCCGCCAACACAGCCCUAAUGAGCUCUGCAUAUUCAAAACACAAGUAAUUGAUAGUCCAAUUUAAAGUGUGCAGAGGCCAAAUUUCUUUCCAGACGCUGAAGGAAAAACACCAGCUGAGGAAGAAUGAAGAACUGCCUGUUCUAAGUUAUUCUCCUUCUGUGGUCAUUCGAGCACCAGGAAGACCAGGUUUGCCCCAUCAAGUACCUCAAGAAAGAAGUCAAUUACCUAAAGAAGUCAAGCAAAGAGGAAAGGACAAAAUGAAAAUCAUGUACCAGGGUACACGUCGAGGCUCCAAGCUGGAAUGAAUAUGGCCUUCAACAUACUCUUUAUCAUACAGAAGCUUGUGUUCAGGGCUUGGAUUUUGAAGUCAGACAGACCUGGAUUAAAAACCAAUUCAACUACCUAUUACAUAUGUGACCUAGGUAAGAUCUAACCUCUCUGUGCCUCAGUCUACUCCUUUGCUAAAUGGGCAUUAGGAGCACAGAUUUUGAGGCAGUCAGUGUUGGAUUUCAACCUCAGCUCCACUACUGACUGUGUCAAAAGGGCAAGUUAAUGAACCUCCAAUGUUAAUUUCUUCUUCUCUAGAGAGGAAGUGAUUACAUAGGUCCAUUGAAGGACUGUUUGGGGGGCUGGUUGAGAUAAGAUAUAAAAUGCACAUGCACAGUGCUCAGGAAAAUUUUUGUGAACUUCUUACAUAUCUCCUCUUAAGCUCCAGGACAGUGGCUCUCAAAGUGUGGUCCCUGGACCAGCAGCAUCAGCUUUAUCUGGGGAACUGUGAGAAAUGUAGAUUCUCAGGUCCCACCCCAGACUCACUGAAUCAGAAACUCUGAGGGUGGUCCCAGCACUCUGUUUUAACAAGCCCUCCAAGAGAUUAUGGUGGAUGCUAAAAUUUGAGAAUCUCUGCUCUUGGGGCUAGUUCAGAAUGCACCUGAGACUUGGCCGGGUGCGGUGGCUCAUGCCUGUAAUCCCAGCACUUUGGGAGGCCGAGGUGGGCGGAUCACGAGAUCAGGAGUUCGAGACCAGCCUGGCCAACAUGAUGAAACCCCGUCUCUACUAAAAAUACAAAAAUUAGCUGGGCAUGGUGGAGGGCGCCUGUAGUCCCAGCUACUUGGGAGGCUGAGGCAGGAGAAUCGCUUGAACCCAGGAGGUGGAGGUUGCAGUGAGCCGAGAUCGUGCCAUUGCACUCCAGCCUGGGGGACAAGAGCCAGACUCCGUCUCAAAAAAUUAAAAAAAACAAAGAAUGCACCUGAGACUUUCAGUCCACACACAACUGCUGUGGGUUCCCAAGAACCUGUUCAGUGCCAUGAUUCUUUGAAGUGAGUUCUCCGCUCAUUGUUUUCUGCACCCAAACGGAAGAAAUACUUCAAUUCUCAGGAUUUCCCUCUGACACUAGGAAAAACAUCCAGGCAAGUGGACAGCAUUUGCAACAGCCCAGCAAUAAGAAGGACCAUAUUCUACUUGGGAAAAGGUAAAGUCGUUUCAUAUGGACGGAGCCUGCCAGGAAACCUGUCAUUCAACCCUUUGCAAUAAAACAGCUCCUCAUGAAUGAAGCAAAAUAAAUCAGAAGUUGUGGGCUUUUAAACUCACUAAAUGAAAGCACAGCAUGCAUGCAGCCUCCCUCCAAAUUAAUCACCAGAUUAAAUGCAAGAUGUGCACACCAAAUCAAUAGCUUGUGACGGGGACCUCCUGCCUGUGCUUCAGGAAAAUUCCAUUUCCUUUCAGAUGUUGUCGCUUGAAAUGUCAGGAAGUUUCCAUUCAUCACCCGCCCUUGAAAAUGCCACCAUCACCAUACUUCAUGUUUCCUUGCUUUCUUUCUUCAGAGGAAUCCAAGCACCUUGCAGAGGGAGCCCACUCCUUGUCACAGACUCUCCUGGAGGCUGAAACAGGGGCAGUCUGCACAGAGGAGAGGUGUAGAGAGGCGCGAUUUAGAAAUAAGAAAACCAAAUCGUAAAGAAGCCUAAUGUCUUGUUGCAACAUCUGAAAGAAACAAGAUGAAUAUAUUCCACUAGGUGGGAAGCUUAGGGUAGUGGGAAGAACAUGGAUUCAGGACUUUGAGAAACAUGGAUUUAAAUUUUGAUCCCCAAUGCCUCUCUGCACUUCACUGUUAUCUAUAAAAUAGAGGAAAUAAAAAUACUAUACAUUCAAGUCUUAACACCAACAGUUAACUAGUUGUGUAACCUUGGACAAGUUAUGUGACCUCUCUGUCUGAGCAUUGUCAUUUGUAUAUGAGAUCAUGGAGGUUAAAUGUCCAACCUGUUGUCACUGUGCACCUCAAAAUAAUAAAUAAAAC
This 2432-nucleotide long non-coding RNA is filed under the name Homo sapiens (human). RNAcentral's name for it is "HSALNT0292592". Lineage: Eukaryota; Metazoa; Chordata; Mammalia; Primates; Hominidae. The record is from RNAcentral.